This 327-nucleotide long non-coding RNA is filed under the name Phoenix dactylifera (date palm). RNAcentral describes it as "long non-coding RNA (PDAC_LNC005128)". Lineage: Eukaryota; Viridiplantae; Streptophyta; Magnoliopsida; Arecales; Arecaceae. The record is from RNAcentral.
GAACUUCACCCCAGCCCUGAGGAGCUCCGUCGCACUAGGAAUCCACUUGGGUGUAGAUCCUCGUGGAGGAUCAACUUCUGCUUUCUUACACUUAAACUUCAUGAGUUUAGGAAUACAUCCUGAUGCAGAUGUCGAAGUCGGUGCAGAUGUCGAAGCCCCUUGUGAAGGAGCAGCUUCUCCUGGUGCAGAUGUAGACUCUGCUGGCUUUUCUGAAGGGAUCCGAGAUGAAUAAAAUAGAUGGAGCAGAUGAUGGUAUUCUCCGGGGGACUUCUUCUUGAAUGAUUUGGAUUCCUCGGGUUGGAUGCCCUUGAAAAGCCCGAGAGCAAG